RNAcentral lists this ribosomal RNA (106 nucleotides) under Streptomyces sp. Amel2xC10. Its description in RNAcentral is "23S rRNA. Bacterial LSU". It matches the Rfam family "Bacterial large subunit ribosomal RNA", at positions 2818 to 2925 of the family's 2925-position model. The record is from RNAcentral. Lineage: Bacteria; Bacillati; Actinomycetota; Actinomycetes; Kitasatosporales; Streptomycetaceae.
ACUUGAUGGGGUAAGGCUCCCAGUAGACGACUGGGUUGAUAGGCCGGAUCUGGAAGCACGGUAACGUGUGGAGGUGACCGGUACUAAUAGGCCGAGGGCUUGUCCU